Alligator sinensis (Chinese alligator) is the source of this 317-nucleotide long non-coding RNA. RefSeq lists it as uncharacterized. The transcript is spliced from 3 exons. Lineage: Eukaryota; Metazoa; Chordata; Crocodylia; Alligatoridae. The record is from RefSeq and is a predicted model, not a curated record.
UCACAAAGGACUUCCCACUUCCCCUCAUGGAAGACUUCAAUGUUCCCAUCACAGGGGCUCUGGCCAUCUACAAGCCUUUCCAUUGCCUUUGGCUGGGAGCCUGAAAAAAAGACAACAGGGACUGCUUGGCAGGAAUGAAGGAUGAAGGAGAAAAUGAAAAGAUCAAGGUUAAAACCGAUGGCAAGCCAAGGACAGAGGGAUCUCCACAGCCCAAUUUUGAGCAGAUGAUCCUGGCUAGCUCUUUCUGGUCUUCUGGACGUGACUCCACUGUUCCCCAGUGACCUUCCUUGUACAGCUCCACAAUCCCUGAGCAGGUG